Molecule: long non-coding RNA, 1184 nt
Filed under: Marmota monax (woodchuck)
Lineage: Eukaryota; Metazoa; Chordata; Mammalia; Rodentia; Sciuridae
Source: RNAcentral
CUCCGCUGGUCUUGGCUGAGCACAGCUGAGCUGAUCUUGACUGGGGCUCACCUACAUGUUGAGCAGCUGCUACUUGGCUGAUAUAUGUGGGCCUCAGCUGGGGUGAUAGGUCCUGAUUCAUAUGAUUUUUCAUCUUUCAGCAGGCAAGCCAGACCCAAGAAAGAGGAGAAGUGUGGAGGCCAUUAACUGAAUUCAUCAAAUGAAACCAUAGGCCACACCAUCCUGGUCUAAGACACCAAUUCUCCCCUGGACAUUUGCAAGCAUUGGACUUCUUUCCACUUAUGCUGCUUUACACAUCUAAUCUGCACAGAUCUGCCAGAUGGAUCCUUUUAGAUCCUAAGCAAAUUGCUCUCAUUCCUCCACUCAAAUUCCUCCAAUGAACGCCCAUCUCAGAGCAGAAGCCAAAGUGUUUUUGAGACCUUGAUCUUCAAGACCCUAUGUGUGGUAGCCUUCUUUCACCCAACCUUCCUACCACUGCCCCCAACAUAAACACUGAUUUCCAUUCACAGCAACCUCCUUCUAUUUUAUUGACCUGACAGUAAGCCAUGAAUGCCUCUGAAUCUUGGACUUAUUCUUCUCUCAUAAUCCACUGUGCCCACUCUCAGUUCUUUUCAAACGUUUUUUCCUCAAGGAGGCCUUCUCUGCCCAACCUAUAUGAACGAAUACCUCCAGCACUCGAUAUAACUUUUCUUCAUAGCACCUAUCAAUUCCUGAAUUAUUAUGUGUACAUUUAUGUUUGUAUGCAUCUCUUUCCCCCACUGGUAUAUGAACUCCAUGAGAAUACAGAAUUUGCUUCUUUUAUUCACUGCUUAUAGCACCCAGUGUCUACAACAGGGCAUAGCACAUAAUAGGUGCUUAAUGAUGAUUUGUUAAACUAAUGAAUCAAUGAAUAAAUAUCCUUUUGCUUGUGUUUAAAUUUGUUUAUUAUUCAAACCUCCCUGUAAAGAAUGAAUUGCUGUGAUGUCAAUGAAAGUUAAAUGGUAAUGAAAUGAAGACAAAUGUUUAAAUCUUAUUGAUGUAUUCCAGCACCCUUACCUGAUGUCUUGGCUUGUUUCAUGGUUGGCUCUCUUCUGAAUGUGAUUUGAAUAAUUUCAUCUAUGGUAACUAGAAUACUAAUUCAUAUUGUUCUAUUGAAAUCUUUUAUUGAACUCAUCUUUCUGUAUUUCCAGAUAAAUAACUCCAAA